RNAcentral lists this long non-coding RNA (543 nucleotides) under Homo sapiens (human). RNAcentral's name for it is "PREDICTED lncRNA (TCONS_00205102)". The record is from RNAcentral. Lineage: Eukaryota; Metazoa; Chordata; Mammalia; Primates; Hominidae.
AGAAGUGCCUUUCACCUCAUGCCAUGAUUCUGAGGCCUCCCCAGCCAUGCAGAACUAGAUAGAGUUUUGCUCUUGUUGCCCAGGCUGGAGUGCAAUGGCGCAAUCUUGGCUCACCGCAACCUCCACCUCCCGAGUUCAAGCGAUUCUCCUCCCACAACCUCCCGAGUAGCUGGGAUUACAGGCACCCGCCACCACGCCUGGCUAAUUUUGUAUUUUUAUUAGAGACGGGGUUUCUCCACGUUGGUCAGGCUAGUCUCGAACUCCUGACCUCAGGUGAUCCGCCCACAUUGGCAUCCCAAAGUGCUGGGAUUACAGGCGUGAUAAAUUGACCAUCUUAUACCAGGAAGUCAAAUGAGAAGACAUCAGUAAAAAUAUUCUGGCCAACUCAUGUUUUAUUUAUCAUAUCUUCAUCAUUAAUUGCUUCUCAUAAUGCCACAGUUUGUCAUGGUAUUUGUGGCAGCAGGCAAAGUCCUUGUUCAGACUUUGAUUAAAUUGCUGUGGCAUUUUUCUAUUAAAAAGAUCUCCUGUUUCAAUCUAUAGUUU